AGACUUGUAGUGUAAUGGUAGCACAACAGAUUUUGAUUCUGUUAGUUAGGGUUCGAAUCCCUACGAGUCUA
RNAcentral lists this transfer RNA (71 nucleotides) under Candidatus Bostrichicola ureolyticus. Its description in RNAcentral is "tRNA-Gln". It matches the Rfam family "tRNA". Rfam says of the family: Transfer RNA (tRNA) molecules are approximately 80 nucleotides in length. Their secondary structure includes four short double-helical elements and three loops (D, anti-codon, and T loops). Further hydrogen bonds mediate the characteristic L-shaped molecular structure. tRNAs have two regions of fundamental functional importance: the anti-codon, which is responsible for specific mRNA codon recognition, and the 3' end, to which the tRNAs corresponding amino acid is attached (by aminoacyl-tRNA synthetases). tRNAs cope with the degeneracy of the genetic code in two manners: having more than one tRNA (with a specific anti-codon) for a particular amino acid; and 'wobble' base-pairing, i.e. permitting non-standard base-pairing at the 3rd anti-codon position. The record is from RNAcentral. Lineage: Bacteria; Pseudomonadati; Bacteroidota; Flavobacteriia.